Molecule: non-coding RNA, 278 nt
Filed under: Enterocloster asparagiformis
Lineage: Bacteria; Bacillati; Bacillota; Clostridia; Lachnospirales; Lachnospiraceae
Description: Clostridium asparagiforme T-box sequence
Rfam family: T-box leader
About the family: Uncharged tRNA acts as the effector for transcription antitermination of genes in the T-box leader family.
Source: RNAcentral
AGAAAGGCUAUGAAGAGAAAGAGUAGCGGUCAGGAAGCCAUACAGAAAGCAGCCGGUUGAUGAGAGGCGCAUGGAUAUGGAUUGUGAAUACAUCUCGGAGCUGCGCACCCAACGGAACGGAGGCAUUUCCGGACCUAGUAGGCUGCGACGGAGGGACACCCCGUAACCGCGUGUCAGGGUAUCGUUUCAUGCAACACGGAGCCGUACCUGCUGAGGCUGUCAGCGCGAGCUGGCGGUGAACGAAAGGUGGUAACACGAGAUCAGGUCUCGUCCUUUUG